GGCGGAAGCUAGUGGAGUAAUGACAGAGUGGUGACUAGAAGUAGGGGAAGUAAACAAACUACCAACCCAAAUUUAGGAGUCCUGGGCUGUCGUGGUGGAGUACUUGGUCGGGUAUGCUGCUUGUUGGGGACGGAGUCCUGGAGGAUCCAGCGCGAGGUGACGCGUUUCUGCUCGCCAGUUUCUGUUACGUUUGCGCGGCAUCGCGGAUGCGCGGGGAGUGUCGCCUCUCGAUGCGCAGGAUCCCAGCAGGCAGGAAUGAAGUCAAAUUGCUCUGCUGGGCGCUCCGCAGGACACGCCACUGGUAUUCCCUUCCAUGGUCGCUCCUCUGCGCAGCUGCAGACAAUCAAGAAUCAACACAUUUGCCCGUGAUGAGAGACCUGCUUUCAUAAGCCAGCACAUCCUGAGAUCAAGUGCCAGAACGUAGCUACUCGUACCAGUACACUUCCCGUCUUCCUGACCCGUUGUAGAGCUGUGUGUCUCGUCUUCCCGGAUCCCCUCUGGACUCUCUGCUGCCUCUCUGGAUCUCGACCUCACACAUGCCCUUUGACCAUGACACCUCACUCCAGCCCUUGACCUUCCAGCUCAAUUCCAACCCGCACUUUCAACACCCUCUUGUAACAAUCCACAUAUACUUACCUCACAUAGUCAUAUUACAUUCAUUUGGAUUACACACCUCACAUACAUUCUCUUCUGACAAUAAACACACUGAAAGCUAA
Long non-coding RNA from Nerophis ophidion (straightnose pipefish), 716 nucleotides. RefSeq lists it as uncharacterized. The transcript is spliced from 3 exons. NCBI's taxonomy places the organism in Eukaryota, Metazoa, Chordata, Actinopteri, Syngnathiformes, Syngnathidae. The record is from RefSeq and is a predicted model, not a curated record.